UGGGGAAUCUUGCGCAAUGGGCGAAAGCCUGACGCAGCAACGCCGCGUGAGCGAAGAAGGCCUUCGGGUUGUAAAGCUCUGUCAGGGGGAAAGAAGGCACCUGGGUUAAUAGCCCAAGGGCUGACGGUACCCCCAAAGGAAGCCACGGCUAACUACGUGCCAGCAGCCGCGGUAAUACGUAGGUGGCAAGCGUUGUCCGGAAUCAUUGGGCGUAAAGAGCGCGUAGGUGGCUUGUCAGGUCUGAUGUGAAAUUUCGGGGCUCAACCCCGAACCUGCAUCGGAAACCGGCUUGCUAGAGUCUGGGAGAGGAGAGUGGAAUUCCUGGUGUAGCGGUGAAAUGCAUAGAUAUCAGGAGGAACACCGGUAGCGAAGGCGGCUCUCUGGAACAGUACUGACGCUGAGGCGCGAAAGCUAGGGGAGCGAACAG
This 427-nucleotide ribosomal RNA is filed under the name uncultured bacterium. RNAcentral's name for it is "bacterial SSU rRNA". It matches the Rfam family "Bacterial small subunit ribosomal RNA", at positions 355 to 775 of the family's 1533-position model. The record is from RNAcentral.